RNAcentral lists this ribosomal RNA (480 nucleotides) under Fusarium chlamydosporum. RNAcentral's name for it is "eukaryotic LSU rRNA". The stretch from base 124 to 277 matches the Rfam family "5.8S ribosomal RNA". Lineage: Eukaryota; Fungi; Ascomycota; Sordariomycetes; Hypocreales; Nectriaceae. The record is from RNAcentral.
GUGACAUACCUAUACGUUGCCUCGGCGGAUCAGCCCGCGCCCCGUAAAAAGGGACGGCCCGCCCGAGGACCCCUAAACUCUGUUUUUAGUGGAACUUCUGAGUAAAACAAACAAAUAAAUCAAAACUUUCAACAACGGAUCUCUUGGUUCUGGCAUCGAUGAAGAACGCAGCAAAAUGCGAUAAGUAAUGUGAAUUGCAGAAUUCAGUGAAUCAUCGAAUCUUUGAACGCACAUUGCGCCCGCCAGUAUUCUGGCGGGCAUGCCUGUUCGAGCGUCAUUUCAACCCUCAAGCUCAGCUUGGUGUUGGGACUCGCGGUAACCCGCGUUCCCCAAAUCGAUUGGCGGUCACGUCGAGCUUCCAUAGCGUAGUAAUCAUACACCUCGUUACUGGUAAUCGUCGCGGCCACGCCGUAAAACCCCAACUUCUGAAUGUUGACCUCGGAUCAGGUAGGAAUACCCGCUGAACUUAAGCAUAUCAAA